CAAUAGCGUAUAUUAAAGUUGUUGCAGUUAAAAAGCUCGUAGUUGGAUUUCUGGUAGGAGUGACCGUUCCGAACUUGAUUGUUCGUGUAUUGUGUUUUCUCCAGCCAUCCUUGUGGAGAACUUUUCUUGCAUUAAUUUGUAGGGGUUGGGACCCGCAUCGUUUACUGUGAAAAAAUUAGAGUGUUUAAAGCAGGCAAUCGCUUGAAUACAUUAGCAUGGAAUAAUAAGAUAGGACUUUGGUACUAUUUUGUUGGUUUGCAUACCAAAUUAAUGAUCAACAGGAACAGUUUGAGGAUAUUCGUAUGAACAUGUCAGAGGUGAAAUUCUUGGAUUUUGAUCAGACGAACUACUGCGAAAGCAUUUAUCAAGGAUGUUUUCAUUAA
This 383-nucleotide ribosomal RNA is filed under the name uncultured eukaryote. RNAcentral's name for it is "partial 18S ribosomal RNA". It matches the Rfam family "Eukaryotic small subunit ribosomal RNA", at positions 592 to 976 of the family's 1831-position model. The record is from RNAcentral.